This 513-nucleotide long non-coding RNA is filed under the name Sus scrofa (pig). RNAcentral's name for it is "lncRNA (ENSSSCG00060008999.1)". Lineage: Eukaryota; Metazoa; Chordata; Mammalia; Artiodactyla; Suidae. The record is from RNAcentral.
GUAACCCUCUAAGUACAGUAACGUAAACCAGAAGAAUGUGAUUCUGAUGACACUCUUAUCCCAUCCUGUGAACAAACGUUCGGGAGAAGUGAAAGAACCCCAUGGGAUAAAAGGCCCCCUUCUCCAUCAUGAAAAUGUAUCAGUUAAGAAAGUGCCUGCAUCUGGAGUCCUCUGAGCCCCCCACAGAUACAAGUCGAGGGCCGACUUUCCUGUUUGUCCUUUUCUUCCCAUGGAAACAGAAUCCACAGUGGAGCAAAGAUGGUCCUGGAUGCCUUAAGAGGGAAACGUUGAACACCACAUAAAUAAAGGUUGACUUGGUGCAGAAGUGUACAGUGCCAUGUCCCUGCAUCUUCAUGGAGAAAUGUAUUCUUUCCACAUGAGAAGCAACACCGUCCAUGGUAAGCCCAGCAAAGCCCAGCACAUGGCCAAUACUCUCUUUGUUCAAUCCCUUCCCCUAACUCCCUUGCUUUCACUAAUCAAGAUCUUUAAGAAAUACGUUGAGUUAAACCUUCA